UGUCCAGUGAAAGGACUUCAUUUUUGAAAGCACAUCCUGCACAGAAACUUCUACACAGAAGAGGAUGGAAGAAAGAAAACUGAACCUAGAUUCUGAAGUAAAACCCACCGUGUUUGCUGGAGCUGCCAUGAAUCAUGAGCAAAUCACAAAAACAUUUUAAAAGAAAACCCAACAGUAAUGAACAUGAACACAGCGACGGCUCUCGUGAUCAGCUCUGACACUUUAAGGCUGAGAUGUGAAGUGAGCCAUGGGAACAGAGGAACAGCUGCAGUUCCCGGGCUGUGGGAUCCAUCAUCCCCUUGCGUGUCUUGGUCCAUGGGCAAGGUCCUAACAAGAAGUUGCAUCUGUUUCACAUGA
RNAcentral lists this long non-coding RNA (357 nucleotides) under Numida meleagris (helmeted guineafowl). RNAcentral's name for it is "lncRNA (ENSNMEG00000021970.1)". The record is from RNAcentral. Lineage: Eukaryota; Metazoa; Chordata; Aves; Galliformes; Numididae.